Molecule: ribosomal RNA, 507 nt
Filed under: uncultured bacterium
Lineage: Bacteria
Description: partial 16S ribosomal RNA
Rfam family: Bacterial small subunit ribosomal RNA
Source: RNAcentral
GACGAACGCUGGCGGCGUGCUUAACACAUGCAAGUCGAACGGGCCUUGUCCCCUUUUUUUUUGGGGGUGGGGUUAGUGGCGAACGGGUGAGUAACACGUGAGUAACCUGCCCCUCACUUCUGGAUAACCGCUUGAAAGGGUGGCUAAUACGGGGUGUUCUGGCCUGCUCGCAUGGGUGGGUUUGGAAAGAUUCGACCGGUUUGGUUGUUUUGGUGGGGGAUGGGCUCGCGGCCUAUCAGCUUGUUGGUGGGGUGAUGGCCUGCCAAGGCGUUGACGGGUAGCCGGCCUGAGAGGGUGGGCGGUCACACUGGGACUGAGACACGGCCCAGACUCCUACGGGAGGCAGCAGCGGGGAAUAUUGCACAAUGGGCGCAAGCCUGAUGCAGCGACGCCGCGUGAGGGAUGGAGGCCUUCGGGUUGUGAACCUCUUUCGCCAGUGAAGAAGGUCCUGCUCUUUGUGGUGGGGUUGACGGUAGCUGGGUUAAUGAAGCGCCGGCUAACUACGUG